GUGCCCACUUUGACCGCACAGAUACUAAAAUUGAAAUGACACAGAGAAGAUCAGCACGGCCCGUGCACAGGGAUGGCACACACAUUCCUAAAGGGUUUCCAUAUUUUU
Small nuclear RNA from Ursus americanus (American black bear), 108 nucleotides. Lineage: Eukaryota; Metazoa; Chordata; Mammalia; Carnivora; Ursidae. The record is from Ensembl.